This 292-nucleotide RNase P RNA is filed under the name human gut metagenome. Its description in RNAcentral is "Bacterial RNase P class A". It matches the Rfam family "Bacterial RNase P class A", at positions 47 to 362 of the family's 367-position model. From Rfam's summary of the family: Ribonuclease P (RNase P) is a ubiquitous endoribonuclease, found in archaea, bacteria and eukarya as well as chloroplasts and mitochondria. Its best characterised activity is the generation of mature 5'-ends of tRNAs by cleaving the 5'-leader elements of precursor-tRNAs. Cellular RNase Ps are ribonucleoproteins. The record is from RNAcentral.
AAAGUCCGGGCUUCACAGGGCAGGAUGCCGGAUAACGUCCGGUGGAGGUGACUCCAAGGAAAGUGCAACAGAAAUGAACCGCCAGCUUCUGGCUGGUAAGGGUGGAAGGGCAGUGUAAGAGACUACCGCCUUCCUGGUAACAGGGAGGGCACAUGUAAACCCCAUUCGAAGCAAGACCGAAUAAAAGCAUAUGGCGGCCCGUCAGCUUUAGGUAGGUUGCUAGAGCCUGCUGGCGACAGCAGGCCUGGAUAGAUGACCAUUCACGACAUAACCCGGCUUAUCGUCCUGCUUA